Molecule: long non-coding RNA, 13653 nt
Filed under: Malus domestica (apple)
Lineage: Eukaryota; Viridiplantae; Streptophyta; Magnoliopsida; Rosales; Rosaceae
Description: long non-coding RNA (MDOM_LNC004258)
Source: RNAcentral
AUCAAUCAAAUAGUUAAGCCAAUUGCAUUCACGAUUCAAGAGUUCAUAACUGGAAUUUAUCAAAUUAUAUUGCACACAUAAUCAUGGCUUUGAAAUCACCCCUAGCCAAAAAGGGGUUUAGCCACUCAUAUUUACAACAAAACGAAAGGAAAUGAACUUAAACAUUAGAAACAAAAGAAAGAAAACACCUAAACGCUCCAACGAUCCAAGUUGAACAGGAAGCACGUCGAAGCACUUUCCUUCCCUUCCUUUGCUACGGCACAAGGUGUUGGUGAGUGUUUGAAGGUUUGUUUGUAUGGAAGAAUGGAUGUGAAGAUGAAUGGAUGUGUUUGGAUGAAGGUUGUGUUGAAAUGGGAGUGAAUGAUCUAACCAAGUAUGAACCCAAUUUAUGUUACACACACUUCCUUUUAUAGAGGAAGUGCAAGGCAAAGCAUGGGUAAAAUGGAGUGGUGUUGAAAUGAUUCAAAGGUGAAAGUGAAUUAAUGAUGCAAAGCAUGGGUAAAAUGAAGUGGUGUUGAAAUGAUUCAAAGGUGAAAGUGAAUUGAUGAUUGAUGCAAGAAUUAAACAUGGAUGGAAUGCAUGGCAAAGGUUUGUUAUGGUACAAGGAACCCUUAAUUUGUGUCUUAAAAUGCAUGUGAAACCUUCAAUGUUGCUGGAACUUAGGGACAUUUAGGAUUUAGGAAAGAUCAAACCAAAAUAGGAAACCUUGGCUUAACUUUCCUACUUCAAGUAGGAAUCCUCAUCUUUAGGUCUUCAAUUUCGUCCAUUCCUUUAGUUCCAAGCAUGUGAUAUUUAUUCCAAGCCCAAAAUUGCUCCAAAAGGCUCCAAAAUGCACAUUUUUGCAUACUUUGUCCUUAGAACCUGAAAUUGCACAAAAAUGACUUUAAACACUAAAACAACUAAGGAAUAACAACAUAAAUGCAUGAGAACAAGCUAACUCAGUCGCAUAAAUAUACUCCUAUCAUAUACCGUUAAUCAUUUUGGUCAUUCCAUAAUAAACCUCGUUAAAUUGAGCGUAUUUUUGUCAAAUGAAUCAUCUCCACUUGAACUGAUGGUUUCUUCAACUUAACGGAAUUUUUUUUAUAUAAUGACUAAACUGACUGACGGUGGACAGUCUCAAAAACCAUUUCUAUUGAUUUUAAAUCUUAGAUACCAAUGCAGAGAGUUAUACUAAUCUCAAAGACCAUUUUAACUAAAAAGCCUUAAAAAAUUUCAAAUUUUAGAUUCUAUAGAUCAAUUUGGAGAUCAGUUUGAGUUCUUGUAUUCCAAGCAGCCAAAUUACCAUUUACCAGAGGUAAAACUUUCUCAUCUUCCCCGACCCCCGUUCCCUACAACCCACCCAUUUCUUCUCCCUCCCGUCUUCCCUAAUGGGUGUGGAUUUAAGAAGUGGGGUGUGUAGAGGAGGGAAGAGGGUGCGGUGAGUUUGGGGAAGAUAGGAGCAUAUUUAUGAAAGAUAGGAGCAUAUUUAUGAAAGAUAGGAGCAUAUUUUUGCACGUGGCACACAUUUGGCAGCCACGUUAACGCUUAACAGAUCAAUGGAUGAAAAAUGUAACGGAUGUAUUAUUUUGAAAUAAAAUAGUACGUGAAGCAUGAAAAUGAAAUAUUUUAAAGAUGUUGUAUGAGAUUGUCAUAAACUUCAAAGCUGAAUGGCUACUAUGUAAUUUAUGUAAGCUCAUACAAUUUUCAAAAUAAAUUAAAUUAUAAAGAAUAAAAAAAGGGAGACCAUCCCAGCCAGUGAAACCGACCGAGAGCGAUCCUCUACCGCUGGAUGGAACCGAGGAACUAUCAGCUGUUAAUCACGCUCUGAUAGCAGAGUCAUGAUUAAUCCCCCAGGCUAGGGUUCCUCUGUUCUCCUUGGAGAUCAAGGAUACAUAAGUACAAUCCUAUUAAACAGAUCCUGUUCAAGUAAUGUCGGUUACUUACUGGCAAGUGAAGCUAUAUAAACCACAUCACUUCCUUGCGAGUAGUCGAUGUGGGUCUCUUUGGCACUAUGUUUUAUUCAUUCACUCACUGAUUUGAACCUCCUUUGUGCACAAAACUGAGAAUACAGUCUCUCUAGCUUUUCUAGAUUUCAAGUCCUGGUCUUAAUCUUUCAAGAUUUCUUCCCGUUUCCAUGUUUUCCAACGUUUCGAGUUCUCGUCUCUCCACUCCAAGCUUGCUCUUCUACUUCGAACCCAUCACUUGAAAUCCCACUACCACCACAUCGCCCCCUCUCUUUUUUCUUCUUCUUCUUUGUCAAGCUCGGUGCUGCUGCAUUCGUGCCAGAACCUCCCGACCCUGAAACACGUCCAGGCUCGUAUCCUGGUCUCAACUGGGAUCCAGCCCUCUUCCCAUUUUUCAAAGUUAUUCACUCUGUACGCUCGUUUCGAUGACCUCGAUAGCGCCGUUUCAGUUUUCGGUUCGAUUCGAGAACCAAAUACCAUGUUGUGGAAUUUAAUGAUGAAGUCCCAUGUCGAAUGUGGUCUUGUUGAUUUGGCUCUGUUGCUGUACAAGAAGAUGCGUGAGUUGGGUGUUUCGCAUGAUUGCUUUACUUUCCCGAUUGUAAACAAGGUGGUUAUGUUGCUCGGGGGUGAAGUUAGGUAUGCGGGAAUGGUUCAUUGUGUGGCCAUUCAAAUGGGUUUUGGAAUGGAUGUGUAUUUUGGUAAUACAAUGAUUGAUAUGUAUGUGAAAUGCGGAGAAAUUGAUCGUGCUCGUAAGUUGUUUGAUGAAAUGUGUCAAAGAGAUUUGGUUUCGCGGACAUCGAUGAUUUCCGGCUAUAUGUUUCGGAAGGGAAUGUUGCCUGUGGGUUGAGUUUGUUCAAUGAAAUGAGGUUGGAGUUGGAACCGAAUUCCGUUACUAUGUUGACCAUGUUGCAAGGAUGUUGUGGCACUGAAAAUGCAAUUUGUGGAAGUCAGUUUGACGGUUAUGUGAUUAAGAACGAUUUACUGUGAUGCAUCUGUGCAGAACUCAAUCUUGAGAAUGUAUGCUAAAUUAGGUACAAUCAACGAAGUUGAAGACUUUUUCAGCGAACUCGAUAGAAGGGAUGUAGUCUCCUGGAAUAUCUGCAUUUCCUUUUUUUCUUCGAUAGGGGAUGUUGCGAAAGUAAGAGAGUAGUUCAAUGAUAUGCAGGGCAAAGUGGCGCCGGGCGUUGAGACAUUAACUUUGGUUAUAUCAGCAUUGACCAAACAUGGGAUUCUUUCCCAAGGUGAAAGCUUGCAUUGUUUGGCGAUAAAACGUGGGCUUUGUGAUCACGUUUUGCAGACAUCUUUGUUAGACCUCUAUGCCAAGUGUGGAGAAUUAGGAAUCUCAGAUAGGCUGUUCAGAGAAAUCCCUCACAGGAACAGCAUUACUUGGGGUGCUAUGAUGUUUGGCUUCAUUCAAAAUGGUUGGUUUAGUGAAGCUGUUGGACUCUUUCGCGAAAUGCAAGCUUUGGGUCCGGAACCAACGGCUGAGAUACUAAGAAGCCUCGUUGAUGCAUUUGCAAACCUAGGUGCUUUGAAGUUGGGAAAACAAAUUCAUGGCUACAUCAUAAGGAAAUCAUUGUAUGAAGACGAGGAGAGCUAUACUCAUCUCGAAACCUCCAUAAUAAACAUGUACAUAAGAAGUGGUAGUCUAUCUGCAGCUAGAGUGUGUUUGAUAGAAUGUUGGUCAAAGAUAUAGUGACUUGGACAUCAAUGAUCGAGGGCUAUGGGAGCCACGGACUUGGUUUUGAAGCCUUGAAACUAUUUGACCUGAUGAUUAGAGAAGGAAUAAGACCAAAUAGUGCCACCUUCAUAAGCUUGUUAUCUGCUUGUAGCCAUUCCGGUCUUGCGACUGAAGGUUGUGAUGCUUUUUGUUCCUUGAAAUGGAAGUUUGGUAUCGAACCUGAUUUAGACCAUUACACUAGCAUUGUUGAUCUCUUGGGUCGAUUUGGGAAGCUUAAAGAGGCCUUAGCUGUCAUUAUGAAAAUGAUGACUUUUCCGGAUAGUAGGAUUUGGGGUGCUCUUCUUUCAGGAUGUAGAAUUUACAGUCUCAGACAGAGAUGUUGGGGAGCAUGCUGCUCAGAGGCUCUUGGAACUAGAACCUGAUAACGCUAGGUACCAUACUCUGUUGAGUAACACACAAGCUAGUGUCGGACAGUGGGAUGAAGUAGAAGUGACGAGGAGAGUUAUGAGCGAGAUGGAUCUAAAGAAGAUGCCAGGGUGGAGCUGCCAGGAUGCAAUAGGGAUUGAUUUGAAUUUGCUGAUCAGCUAACUUGACAUGUUAAUUGACGGAUAUAGCUGCCUACUCGAAGGGACAAUGGUUUGUGAUACUAUCAGGACUUUGCUUCGCAGCGAUAGCAGCACGGUAGCAAAAUCCAAGUGGUUAGUCAGAAGUUGAGAAGAUGAGUGCCAAGUUAGUUUUAAGAUGGUGAGGCACAAGAAAGGGAAGGCCCUUUGGGUUUGUUUCUGGCUUUUGGAGAUCGAUCUCACGCCAUCAAGUGGGAUGCGAUUCAUUAAGUUUGGAUGCUUAAGUAGGAAAACAAGCGGUUGCAGAUUCUUGAUGUGAUACAGCCUUUUCUAUUGGCGUUGGGUUAUGCCAAUCAAAGGAGAAGAGGAAAAGAGUGCGGAAAUCAUUACUCAUUUAAAUACCGUCUCCGUAGAAAUUAAGACUAUGAAAUAGACCCCAAGUGUAUUGAAGAGAUGGUAAUCAUCAUGUGUAACACAUACCCAUGUAAACCAAAAACUUUUACAUGCGUCUCUUGUACUUGGCAUAAUCUGAUACCGGUCGUAUAGACGAAAUACGGGAAACCAGAAAUUAGCAACCAAACGCUAAGCUUGCCACGGAAAUCUCUACUUACAAAUGGUUCUAUAAUUUCGUCUAAGCAAGUCAUCUCUAUGAAGGAUUCUUCGUUAUCCACUUCGUUGUUCGAGCACCUAGACCUGGUAGCAUCUGCAAAACUAUUUAAUCGUUUCAUUCAGAUAUCAGGACAAGAGGUCGCACUUGGUGCGAUAGCAAGUGCCUUCGCCCAUGAGCGGUAGGUCUCGGGUUCGAGACUUGGGAGCAGCCUCUCCAUAAAUGGGGGUAAGGCUAGCUGACAUUCACCUCUCCCAGACCCUGCGUAAAGCGGGAGCCUUGUGCACUGGGUACGACCUUUAUCAGAUAUCAGGACAACCAAGACUGAAACAAGUAUCAACUUAUAAUUCCAACAGAAUUUAAUUCAAAUAACAAUUUGAUAACAAUCACCAACUCAAAAGACCCGAAGCAGAAGAUGCCCAGCCAGCACAAUGCCAUUCGAACAUAGUGAGGAAAAAAGAGAGCUCGAAUGAGAUGAAAAACUAACGAUAAUUUAUAGAUUCACCUCUCAAAAAUGAGUACCUAUAAAUUUAAGUUUCUCGAAUCUGAUCAGCCAAGAAAGCAACAAAUUUCUGCAAUAUGUUCAUACACAAAAGAUCCUUGGAUACUAAAUUAAAGUAGAGAGCACUCCCAACCACUACUUUCGAUCCAAAAGAACAGAUGAGAAAAAUUAUGUAAGGCUUUAUGUAUUUCUCAGUCGAUCAAUAGCAUCAUUCAUUUCUUUAAAUAAGUAAAAUAAAGAUAUUGUACCUGAAAUAAUUGAGACAGUCUUUACAGCCUUCUACUUGCCUUUGAGAUAAUGUAAAUCCAACUUCAGUAAAAUCUUCUGCAAGAACAAAUAAAAAAUACCAAGAGAUCUAGUUCAGGAUCACUUGCUAAAUUUAGACGAGGUUUUCAUGAAGAAUUAAACUUUAAUAGGAAAAUGCACAGUUCGACCAAUCCCAGAUUGAGACUUAUGUGCUACUUAGAUCCAUCUAAUUAAAUUUUCCUACAAGUAAAACUACGAAACCAAUAUGAUUUGAGCAAACCCCAUCAACAACAAUACUCUACUAUAGAGCAAUGUAAUUACAAAGUAAAUAGUCUUGGGAAGGACAAAUAUGAUGAAGAAGAAAUUUGAACGCAAUUAAUACAAAAGAAAACAACGGACAUAAAAUCAAUUACUCAACUCAUCAAAGUCACAUUCCAGCUACUUGACGUGCCAUUGAUUUCACGAAUCAAUAAGCUGAAGUGCCUAUACUGUGGUUAUAGAUGAAUCAGUUUACCAGUUUGCCAUUGAUUUCACGCAUCAAUAACUUGGAGUUAUCAACAACGCAUUUGCUUUCAUAAACUAUAUAACUACACAGUUCAUGCCUGGGUGCUGGCUUGAGCGAUUUUAAUUCAACAAGGGGAUCUCUAAUCUGAGACUUGCUCAAGAUCUCCCUUGCUGGCUGGACAUGAUUCCACCAAAAAUCCGAGAGAACUAUUUUCAGAACAUCCCAGUAUUCUGCAUCCCGAUAUACCCUGAACAGGCUGCUCCCUUUAGGAGUCCAAACAUAGAAAUCCAUCCAAUCCCUGUCAAGUAUUUCCAUUAAACCCUGAGCCUGUGGAACACAGUAUAGAGGAAUUCGUGACCAAGGGGUAGCCUUCGUCAUAUUUCCAUAAAAAAAUGGACAUUUAAUCUCCAAUACUCCUCGUGAAGGCAAUCCGUAUACCAGCCUAUCAAUCACCCCAUCCGGUGAAGCUCCCAACCAAUCCUCUCCAACAUUCCUAUUACCAUAAACUUGAAAUUCAGGAAACAAAACGGAAUUUCCUGUUAUCAGCUUGUAUCUUUCAAGUGCUUCCUCUUCUUUGAUAUUGCUCCAACACGUAGCCAAAUUACCAGAAAAUGGCUCAAGGGCUCCAAUCUUCUCUAGCCAAAGCUGGAGUCGUCUGCGAUGAAAUAAACCAACCGCUGCAGCAAAAGUACUUGCUGUCAGUUUAUUUUUUCUGAGUCCUUGCCAAUUUUUGAACCAGUGCUGAAGACCACUUGAAUUAAGAACAGAAUAACCUUCAGAAGAAGCAAAUCUCAUAGAACAACGAGAAUGGUUGAGAACUUGUCUGCGGUUGGCAAACAUAAUAGGAGCCAGAACUGAAAAGAAAUAGUUGAUGUAGCUUCUCCGACUAGUAGAAUCUGUUCUGUAACAAGAAAACAUUUUUAUUUUCUGGCAAUCCCAAUAAAACCUACGAAUGUGAUACUUGCAAUUCUUGUGUAUUGACAGGUGAACAAAAAGGGCAAGCAAGAAGCAAAUAUCUCAGCUCAUGGAAAACAAAUGCAAGGCCAAAGACAUACCAAUUGCUACACAACAAAUGAGAGUGUCGGUAUAAGAAAUGCAAACUUAUGCAUACACACACGAACACGAAUAUCCACAAAAUCGCUGAUAUAUUCUCAAUAUAGAUAAACGGGGGUGGGGGGUUGAAGCGCAUAUCUUCCCUAUAACGGCGACGGUGGCUGCGAAUUUCAGAGAAACUAGAAUUUACGCAGGAAAUAUCCACAAGAAGAGCCCCCAGAAUCCUAAAGUUUAGCCCUAACUGGCGAUUCAUAAUCUAAUUCUCCCAAAUUCAAACCCUAAUAUUUCAGUGACCCAGAAAACUAACACCAUAGAAUUAAAAGGAAUCAAAAUCAAUCACUGAGCAUGCCAAAAAACAAAAAGUGGAGCCACUAGUUGCAGAAGAGACGGGGAGAGAGAUUCAGAGACGUACCAAGAGGGGAAGGGGAAGGGGAAGGACACUGGUGAGAGGUUGAAGAAGAUCCUGCGGCAGCAUUAGAUGGUUGAGGCUGGAGAGAUUUUGGAAUUUGUUAACUGCGUCCGGGUGGGCAAGUCUUAGGGUUUAAGCUGGGGUUUUGGUUUUUAAUAUUUUUAAUUUUUAAAAUUGGGCGUUGGGUUUUGCUUUUUUUUUGUUUUUGUUUUUUGAAGAAACAAUAGCAUUCAUUGAUGGAAUGGAGCCAAAAACAUCCCCAUUAUAAGUAGUACAUCAGAGAUUACAAUUUGAUAGAGGGACCAUUUACAGGCAGUCCUCAACAAGAUCCAAGAUGAAAGUAGGUGGGCUUGAGAGCCAUUCGCAGUGGUUGCCAAUCGACAAGCUAAACCGAGCUAGGUGAUGGGCUACAAUGUUAGCUUGGCGUCGAAUAUGGGAAUAUAAGUCUUUAGUGAUUGAAGGGAGAAGAGCCCUUGUACCCUCCAUGAUCUGGCCAAUGGAUGACCGGUUAGGGGAGAGGUUCGCUAGCGCACCCAUAAUUUGAAGAGAAUCACCUUCCAUUACCCUGGUGGGGCGGGGCGGACAGUGAGCGAAAGAUCCAUUGGCUUUCUUGGGAUAAGUUAUGCCUCCCAAAAUCAGAGAGGGGUUUGGGGUUUCGCAAUUUCCACACUUUUAACCUAGCUUUAUUAGCCAAGCAAGCCUGGAGGAUAAUCAUUGAACCCAACUCCCUGAUGGCAAGGAUCCUUAAGGCCAAGUACUUCCCUGCGGGCUCGUUCAUAGAAACAGAAUUGAAACCAAACUCCUCUUUCUACUGGAGAAGUAUAAGUGGUGCCAGAGAAGUAAUUCGUAGGGGAAUACGAUGGAUGAUUGGGAAUGGAAAAUCAGUAAAAUUGUGGGAGGACCCCUAGAUCCCUUUGUCUUCCAACUUCCAUGUCCUCUCCCCAAAACUAGCAAAUUACAACCUGGAGUAUGUGGCGGAUUGGAUUGACCCUGUCUCGAAAUAUUGGAGGGUUGAUCUUUUCACUCCACUCCUAACUACUGUUAAGAUCGUCUAAUCCGUUCACUUCCCCUUAGUUUGGCUAGAGAAGAUUGGAGCCCUUGAGCCAUUUUCGGGUAAUUUGGCUACCUGUUGGAGCAAUAUCAAAGAAGAGGAAGCACUUGAAAGAUACAAGCUGAUAACAGGAAAUUCUGUUUUGUUUCCUGAAUUUCAAGUUUAUGGUAAUAGGAAUGUUGGAGAGGAUUGGCUGGGAGCUUCACCGGAUGGGGUGAUUGAUAGGCUGGUAUACGGAUUGUCUUCACGAUGACUAUUGGAGAUUAAGUGUCCAUUGAUAGGGCUGGAUCCCAGUUGAGACCGGGAUACGAGCGUGGACCUGUUUCAGGGUCGGGAGGUUCUGGCAUGAAUGCAGCAGCACUGAGCUUGACAAAGAAGAAGAAGAAGAAGAAUAAGAAGAAAAAAGAGAGGGGCGAUGUGGUGGUAGUGGGAUUUCAAGUGAUGAGUUCGAAGUAGCAGAGCAAGCUUGGAGUGGACAGACGAGAACUCGAAACGUUGGAAAACAUUGAAAUGGGAAGAAAUCUUGAAAGAUUAAGACGAGGACUUGAAAUCUAGAAAAGCUAGAGAGACUGUAUUCUCAGUUUUGUGCACAAAGGAGGUUCAAAUCAGUGGGUGAAAGAAUAAAACAUAGUGCCAAAGAGUCCCACAUCGACUACUCGCAAGGAAGUGAUGUGGUUUAUAUAGCUUCACUUGCCGGCAAGGUUUACAACCUUACUUGAACAGGAUCUGUUCUAUAGGAUCGUACCUAGGGCUGGUUCGGUAUGGGAUACCGAACCAAAAUGCAAGUCCCGAUUCCCAAACCGAAGUUUUCGGGAAUACCAAACCAAAUUUUCGGGAUUUCGGGAUAAUCGGGAAUCCCAAAAUAGUUUUGGGCUUUUGGGCUAUUGGACUAAAAAUUGAAGAGAGAAAUACUGCUUGAAGAAAGAAACAUGUGCAAAUACAUAAGCAAAAUGGGAACAUCAGAAAUUAAAGUAGAGAGGACCAAAGACAUUCAAUAUCAUAUAACCGACAGGACCAAAGAAGUUACAGUCAAUUCGAUUAUGGCAACAGAUUUAAAAUGUUGAUCAUUCUUCAUUCGAAAAGGCAUGAAUCAUGAUACAAUGAUCAUUGAUCAACAUAACACUAGAGCUCCUCUGUUGCUCCAGCCUAUCUUGUAAUUUUUAUAUUCUUCAACAUACAUUGCAGGCUGUUCUAAUAUGUAAUCUCGCAUACAUAAUAUAGUGAGAUAAAAUCAUAAAAUGGUAACCUUCAUCCAGAAAUAUUCAACAUAAUAAUCACUAUCUCAUUAAUAAGUACACAGGUUGCAAUAAGUACACAUUAAUAUAUCACAACCACAGUUCAGCAUAUAUCCAAAUUCCAAUCAAUAAAUAAAAUAAAUGGUUCAAAAAUCUGAGCAUUCAACAUAGAAAUAUAUGGUUGUGAGAAAAAGAACUCAAAAUAUAUAACAGAAAGAUAAGAUAGUAAGAACAAGCAAGAGUUGGAAAUCUUAAUGUAUAACAGAAAGAUAAGAUAGUAAGAGCAUUCAACAUAGAACAAUGUGGUAACCAUGUCAGGUAAAUAUCAUCUUGGCCGUCAUUUACUUGCCGCCUGAACCCCCCAAAUCAGGGGAAUAACAAGCAAGAGUUGGAAAUAUGCAUAAGUGUAGACAAAUCCUAUUGAUAUGCUAGGAUAACAUUCAUAAACAAUUUUGCCAUGCUGAUUAUUAUUUUGGUUUGAUAGACAUGUUUGAAAGCAUAUUAGAGGUGACGUAGGGCAGGACAAUAAAGAAAAUCUUCUCUAUUGGAUAACAAAUGAACAUCUCCAAUUCACUACCAAAAACCCUUUUGAAUCAAGUCGAGCACAGACACAAAUUUAGCUUUUUGAUAAUCUUAAUAAAUUUAACAAAUGGGUUAAGGGCUUAAGAGAUAGAGACUGACCUCCUUGAACAAAUUUCUUGUGCACCCGCUUGACGUGCUGAAGAUUUUCCAGCGGUGCAAUUUGGUUCAAACGCCUACACAAUUACAUCAACUUGGUCAAAAGAAAGAAAGAAUAAACAAGGCCAUUAGUAAAUCAUUUUAUAAACAUGAUUUACUGCUGGUUUCCAUUGAAUUCAACCUUAUGAAUUCUAACAUUCAACAACACAAACCAAACCUUAUCAAUGUCCUCCACAGCCAACAAAUUACACACAAGAGGACACAACUUUAAGAAAUUCCCAAACACUGUUUUAUCAAUAUCGCAAUUCUACAAAAACCCAAAUUCCCAAUUCGAUUAAGUUCACUUAUUACUAAGCAAAACACUUGCACAAAUUUAUAAACAAAUGCAACAAUAAAGGAUUAAAUUUGAUAACAGGGGCUGUUCCUUUGAGCAGAAAAUCCUCAUAAAAAUUGAAACUAUAACAAAAAUAAUAAAUCGAUUACUUGAUUGUAUAAUAACUCUGUACCAGGAAAAGUUACAACAAUGAAUUGGUCAACUGAAAGGAAAGGAACCCUAUUGGAAACUAGGACAGUGUUUUCUACUAUACCGGAUGGCAAUUGCUAUUACCAAAAAUUCUAGGAUGCUCCGGACUAGAUAUAUUCCAAAUUGUGUAAUUAUUAUAUCUUGAUUUUUGAAAAUUUUAACCGUUAAAAUAUCCGUUGUACACCUCCAUUCUCCGUAGUAGUUGUAGAAAUGCUUCAAUGCUGCCACAUAGGGGUGGGCACAGGCCGGGCCCCUAGUGGAAAAUAUUUUAAUGUGGAUUAAAGCCGCGAAAAACCCAGAACAGUUAAGGUAAUUCAUUCGGCUCCUACGGGUCCACAGGCCUUUUUUUUAGUAAAUUUUUUUAUAUUUCUUUGGUCCACAGGUCCACAGACCUUCUAUUUUUUUUUUUUUUUUUUUUUUUUUUUUGAGAAGAAACAAUUUUAUUAAAGAAAAGAGAAAAACACAGAAGUGGAUAAGAAGUCCACCAACAAAUUAGAAAGGAAAAUCCUAAUAGGAAUUGGCUACAGUAGCCAAUUCUAGACCAAGCUCACUUAACUGCUGCUAACAAAUCCCACAGUAUUUGAGAUAGAGAGCAAUUAUUAAACUCUUUAGUAACCGAAGCCCAAAAAGAUGCCCAAUAUUUAACUCUCCCCCAAAGUACUUUUGCCCCCACUCCAGUAUAGUCUUCAAAAAUCCUUUUGUUGCGUUCCAGCCAUAUAUUCCAGAAAAUUGCCGAUACCAGGCAACCCCACAAAGCUUUGGAUUUUUUCCCUUUUCCAAGUGCCUUGAAAUUGGUGCUUAGUAGCUCAAAACACCCUUUAGGAAUGACCCAACUUACUUUAACCUCCUGAAACAGUUUCCACCACAGUUGUAUCGAGUAGGAGCAAUGAAGAAAGAUGUGAUUUACACUCUCCUCCUUAGCUUUACAUAAACUACACCAAUGUGGGGAUAAACAUAUCAUAGGGUUUCUCCUUUGAAUUUUGUCGCAAGUGUUGAGACUCCCAUUGGCCACAAGCCAUACAAGUAUUUUAACCUUCGGAGGAACUUUUGAUUUCCAAAUCUGAGAGUAGGGUGGAUAAUAGUGCACAAUCCCAUUGUUGCUCAGUAAUGACCGAUAGGAUUUGCAUGUGAACAAACCUGAAGUUUCUAGGUUCCACCUUCUGUUAUCCAUUUUUGAUGGAGACAAGCGAACCACUUCCACUUUCUGUAAUAAGCUGGCCGCCUCUUCUAUCUCCAUCUCAUUCAGAUUUCUCCUAAAAUCAAAGUUCCAACUCAAGGAACUUGACGAAGCUUCCACAAAGCUAGAUAUGUUAUGAUUAUGCUUCCUCGAUAAUAAGAAUAAUCUGGGGAAUUGCUCCUUCAGCGGUCCCCCUACUAACCACCCAUCCUCCCAAAACCUAACCCUCUCUCCAUUGCCCACCUCAAACUUGCAACAACUAACUUUUUUUGAGGAGGAGGGAUUUGGAGAAGGCAAUGAUGAUUGUGAUUGUAAGGCUUGUGGUGAUUGUGGAGGACAUGGUGAUGUAGCCAUAGAAGAUGCUACACUACUAGGGGUGCUUUGAGACAUUAUGUACAACUUUCAAGUAAAUAUUACAUAAGAAUAUAAAGGCACCACGAAAGCAUUCAGAUGGCCUCAGAACCCUAAUUGCUACCACUCGAGUUAUAUGUCUCUCUCUAAUGACCAAUGAAAAAUAAAAGCUUGAAAAAAGUUUAACUUUUUUCCGUGGGCUAGUUCAUUUUAUAUUCUUAUGCUCGCACUAAUAUGAGAUUCAAAGUUUGAUUAUUGUUUUAGACCCCAAAUAUCCCACAAUCUCUACAAUCACAUAUGUGCAGCAGGGACGUCUCUUUCCCAAAUUUAAAAAAAAAGGAGCACAUCCAUGUAAAGCCAAAGAGUUCUUCAACAUAUUCAGAUCAAGCACAAUCAUUUUCCCUCACCGAACACAUAAUUAAGAGAACUUAAAAACCAAUACCCAUGAUAUCAUAACAUCAGACAGUAAUCAGGUGGAUUUUGUUGAAUUUACGGUCCAUAUUGAUUGUCUGAUUAUAAAACAUAAUAAUUACACAAAAUUUACCAUAUAAAUUAUGAGGAAAGUAUGUUUGAGCUACACAAUUAUGGAUACAGAACCGCACACCAAGUGUUUGACGAAAUGCCACAGUGAAACUACCACAGGAAAACAUACCAGUCCACCGUACAACAACUGGUAAAACAAUCAGGGCAGAAAUAUUAACAAUUCAAAAUUAAGCUAAACAUAAAUUUAAUUCAGCAAAAAUGUUAAUGAUCACAGCAAAAACAUUUCUGAUUCGAAAAAUUAAGAAAAGAAAAGUAAAGAUUUCUGGCAAAACAAUUAAGAUUAAUAUUAGGUGAUAAAAGAUUGAAUAAAAAGCGAAGAUUCAGAACCUGCAUGUACCUCUGAUCGCGAAGAAAGCAAGCCGAAAGCUAAUUCGCAGAGAAAGAUGGUGUGUUGUAUUUAUAUCUGGCUAGUAAAGAAGGAACCACCCCUAGCUAGUUUGGUUUCCAAGCAAACGGAGGCCAGGUAGUGUCCGUUGUGGAGUUCAGUCCGUGGCGUUCCCGUUGUGCAAGUUUUCUCUGUGGGCUUAUGGAUUUGUCUAAUAAAAAAGUAUUUGAAUUAGAAAUGGCCUUUUAAUGGAUAAAUGAU